GAUGAACGCUGGCGGCGUGCCUAAUACAUGCAAGUCGAGCGAACGGACGAGAAGCUUGCUUCUCUGAUGUUAGCGGCGGACGGGUGAGUAACACGUGGAUAACCUACCUAUAGGACUGGGAUAACUUCGGGAAACCGGAGCUAAUACCGGAUAAUAUUUUGAACCGCAUGGUUCAAAAGUGAAAGACGGUCUUGCUGUCACUUAUAGAUGGAUCCGCGCUGCAUUAGCUAGUUGGUAAGGUAACGGCUUACCAAGGCAACGAUGCAUAGCCGACCUGAGAGGGUGAUCGGCCACACUGGAACUGAGACACGGUCCAGACUCCUACGGGAGGCAGCAGUAGGGAAUCUUCCGCAAUGGGCGAAAGCCUGACGGAGCAACGCCGCGUGAGUGAUGAAGGUCUUCGGAUCGUAAAACUCUGUUAUUAGGGAAGAACAUAUGUGUAAGUAACUGUGCACAUCUUGACGGUACCUAAUCAGAAAGCCACGGCUAACUACGUGCCAGCAGCCGCGGUAAUACGUAGGUGGCAAGCGUUAUCCGGAAUUAUUGGGCGUAAAGCGCGCGUAGGCGGUUUUUUAAGUCUGAUGUGAAAGCCCACGGCUCAACCGUGGAGGGUCAUUGGAAACUGGAAAACUUGAGUGCAGAAGAGGAAAGUGGAAUUCCAUGUGUAGCGGUGAAAUGCGCAGAGAUAUGGAGGAACACCAGUGGCGAAGGCGACUUUCUGGUCUGUAACUGACGCUGAUGUGCGAAAGCGUGGGGAUCAAACAGGAUUAGAUACCCUGGUAGUCCACGCCGUAAACGAUGAGUGCUAAGUGUUAGGGGGUUUCCGCCCCUUAGUGCUGCAGCUAACGCAUUAAGCACUCCGCCUGGGGAGUACGACCGCAAGGUUGAAACUCAAAGGAAUUGACGGGGACCCGCACAAGCGGUGGAGCAUGUGGUUUAAUUCGAAGCAACGCGAAGAACCUUACCAAAUCUUGACAUCCUUUGACAACUCUAGAGAUAGAGCCUUCCCCUUCGGGGGACAAAGUGACAGGUGGUGCAUGGUUGUCGUCAGCUCGUGUCGUGAGAUGUUGGGUUAAGUCCCGCAACGAGCGCAACCCUUAAGCUUAGUUGCCAUCAUUAAGUUGGGCACUCUAAGUUGACUGCCGGUGACAAACCGGAGGAAGGUGGGGAUGACGUCAAAUCAUCAUGCCCCUUAUGAUUUGGGCUACACACGUGCUACAAUGGACAAUACAAAGGGCAGCGAAACCGCGAGGUCAAGCAAAUCCCAUAAAGUUGUUCUCAGUUCGGAUUGUAGUCUGCAACUCGACUACAUGAAGCUGGAAUCGCUAGUAAUCGUAGAUCAGCAUGCUACGGUGGAUACGUUCCCGGGUCU
RNAcentral lists this ribosomal RNA (1372 nucleotides) under uncultured bacterium. RNAcentral describes it as "bacterial SSU rRNA". It matches the Rfam family "Bacterial small subunit ribosomal RNA", at positions 28 to 1381 of the family's 1533-position model. The record is from RNAcentral.